This 1412-nucleotide long non-coding RNA is filed under the name Chrysemys picta bellii (western painted turtle). RNAcentral's name for it is "lncRNA (ENSCPBG00000026619.1)". The record is from RNAcentral. Lineage: Eukaryota; Metazoa; Chordata; Testudines; Emydidae.
UAUAACUCCGACCUAAUUUUGAGUUUUAAGUAUAUAUGGUUUUACUGCAAAAACGAACAAAACAAAAAAUAUACCGAAUUAGCACAAACACUGUAACUUUCUUCUGAUUUACUUGUCGUAUUUCCCUGUUCCCUGUAUUGGCAGUUAUCUCCCAAUAGGACUAACAGCAGCAGCAAUAACACUAUGAAGUCAGUAGAUGGCUGUAGAAAAGUAUGUUGAACACUCUUGUGUUAGAGUAAUAAGAUUGGGGAAGGCCUUGACCUGACUGGAUGCUGCUUUUAUCUGAAGUACAUUUAAAGAGAUAAAGGGGAAGCAGGGUGCAGUACAUGCUCCUUUCUUUUCCAUGGGAGCUCUGCUUUGAGUUAAAAAAUUCUCAAGUGCAGGAUUUGUGAACUGGGUCCUUUAGCAAGGAAAUGUAAUGGCUUAAAUGCCACUGGAGUCACCUGCUUUACACUGAUGAUUUUUUUUUCCCGUCAAGACGUCUUAGAAAUCUUCCUAUAAAUUCCUACUGAGGGGGCUUCUGUAAAUCCCAUAGCAGCUAUCAGGAAGUGGUGUAUCCCCAUUUAUUUCUUUAUUUCUUUAUUUAUUUUUCCGCUUUUACCACUGUAGGUGGCUGCCUUUAGUGCACGGACCUGCUCAUUAAACAGACACACCAAGAAUUGUUACCUAAGCAAGCCUGACAGUAAAGAAAGGACAGGCAGAGUUAGGGAGAAAAAGGGAAGAAAAAAAGACAGCCUGAAGCAAGUCACUUCACACGCAGAAAGAGCCACUGAACGAAUGCUAUUCUCAUAAACAAACAAAAAAUAUCUUGUUUAAGAAAAGAAGAGAACUGUGAGGACUUGACAGAAAAAGGCAAGAUUUUCUACCCACUGGUUUCAGUUUUCCUUCCAGACAUACUUGGUGAAGUAAGGAGACUUCUCUUUGCUGACAGAUCCCUUGAUUUCUCUUUCAAGAUGAUGAUGUAUUUGUGGUUAUCUACACUACCCAUUUACAGGGCUUUGGCACAUUUAAGGGACAAAAAUAAAACGUAAGUAGAUCCCUUCCAUGCUACAAGAACAGGCCAUAGUGUAAUAAUGUUAGAUGGCACUUCUUUUGUUUCUAUGUUUUUUGUAGCCCUUUUCUUUCACAUUCAGUUCUAGUUCAUUUAUAGCUAGUCUUAGCUCCUCUUGUUCCUGUUUCUAGUCUGUGAUCAAUGAUUGACUGAGCUGAGGGGUGAAAACAUUAUCUACUUAAAGUGCAGUUUCUGCAAAAGACUCCAAAGCCCCCUCAGUUGUUUGGGUUGGGUUAGCAUUUUUGUUUAGAUAUAAGGAGUUAUGAGAGAGGUGAUUGUGUGUGGUAGCCUUCAUUAUCCACGUCUUGUAAAGGGUAGUGUGAUGAAUUUUUGUCAACCUCAUUGCAAAAGUUGUUUGUUG